Long non-coding RNA from Empidonax traillii (willow flycatcher), 547 nucleotides. RefSeq lists it as uncharacterized. The transcript is spliced from 3 exons. Lineage: Eukaryota; Metazoa; Chordata; Aves; Passeriformes; Tyrannidae. The record is from RefSeq and is a predicted model, not a curated record.
ACAGGGGUGAAUUCUGUGAGAAGUUGCCAGAAGUUUCCCCCAUGUGUGGCAGAGUCAAUGCCAGCUGACUCCAGGAUGGACCUGCUGCUGACUAAUGCCAAGCAAAUCAGGAAUGAUAGUAACACCUCCAUAUUACUAUCUUUAAGAAGGAAAGAAAGAUAUUGUGCAGAUGAAAUUGCAGCCAGAAAAGAGUAGAGUGAGAACAUGUGAACAACUAUACAGACACCAAGAACUUCCAUAAAGUACUCAACAAGAUGAUUAAUAAAAAGUUAUUCUUAAAUGAGAAAAGGGAUAGGAGAAACCUAUAAAGUCAACAGAAAAAAAAAGAUUGCAACUGGUUUUACUGAGUGAAAGCAUCAACUCAGAGUGAUGUUGUUAAUGAAACAAUCUCAAAGAGAGAGAGGGUGGAGCUUAGUGCUGUGUGGGCAUGGCCAGGUUGCUUUUCUGUACCACCCACAUCAUCACUGGGUACCAUGGCUUGCAGAGGAAAAGCUGGGUGUCCCAUAGGACGUGCACCAGUUUGCCUCACUUUCUUCAGCAGGGGAUC